UGAUAAAGCCCGUGAAACAUUAGUAGAAAAUACCAUAGCUGAGGCCACUGCAGCAGCAAUUAAAGUUGUGAAAGAAAAGCUUCUCAGGGAACUGCAAGCUAGAAAACAAGCUGAAACAGGUUUAAGAGAAUUUCAAAGGCAAUAUGAAAAAAUGGAGUUUGGAGUAUUCCCAGUGGAGGCAACACACUCAUCAAUUGAUGAAGAAGGGUACAUUCAAGGCUCCCAAAGGGACAGAAGCAGCUCUUUAGUGGACACCGAAGAAGCCAAAACAAAGUCAGAAAAUGUCCUCCAUGAUCAAGCUGCUAAAGUUGAUAAAGAUGAUGGAAAAGAAACUGGUGAAACAUCCUCAUUUAAAAGGCAUUCUCAAGAUGCUAGUCAAGAUGUAAAGUUGUAUUCAGAUACAGCCCCAACAGAAGACUUGAUAGAAGAGGUAACUGCAGAUCAUCCAGAGGUUGUAACCAUGAUUGAAGAGACUAUAAAAAUGUCACAGGAUAUAAACUUUGAACAGCCAUAUGAAAAACACGCUGAAAUCUUACAGGAAGUCCUUGGAGAGAUAAUGGAAGAAAACAAGGAUAGGUUUCCUGGUGCCCCAAAAUAUGGAGGCUGGAUUGUGGACAACUGCCCUAUUGUAAAAGAAUUGUGGAUGGCCUUAAUCAAGAAAGGAAUUAUACCUGAUUUGGUCAUCUAUUUAUCAGAUACAGAAAACAAUGGAAAAUGUUUAUUUAAUAGAAUAUAUUUACAGAAGAAAUCUGAAAUUGACUCUAAGAUUUUAGAAAGAUUAUUAGAAGAGCUACAAAAGAAAAAAAAAGAAGAAGAAGCAGCAAGAAAAGCCACAGAAGAGGAAUUGAGACUCGAAGAAGAAAAUCGAAGGCUACUGGAACUUAUGAAAGUGAAGGCAAAAGAAGCUGAAGAGACUGAUAAUGAGGAUGAAGAGGAGAUUGAAGGUGAUGAGUUGGAAGUUCACGAAGAGCCUGAGGCAUCUCACGAUACCCGAGGGUCAUGGUUACCUGAGGAGUUUGAAGCAUCUGAGGUCCCUGAAACUGAGCCUGAAGCAGUAUCUGAGCCUAUCGAGGAGACUACAGUGGAAACAGAAAUCCCAAAAGGAUCCAAAGAGGGCCUGGAAAUUGGAAAAUUAUCUGAAACAGUUGUACUACCUGAGUUUCCAGAAGACUCUUAUCCUGAUGUUCCCGAAAUGGAGCCAUUUAAAGAGAAGAUUGGUUCUUUCAUCAUCCUCUGGAAACAGCUAGAAGCAACAAUUAGUGAGGCUUACAUUAAAAUUUUAAACUUGGAGAUUGCUGACAGAACUCCACAGGAAUUACUUCAAGAAGUGGUUGAGACUAUGGAAAAACCAUUUCAAUAUACUGCAUGGGAGUUAACUGGGGAAGAUUAUGAGGAAGAAACAGAAGACUACCAGACUGAAGCAGAGGUUGAUGAGGAGCUAGAGGAAGAGGAAGAGGAAGAGGGUGAAGAUAAAAUGAAGGAGAGAAAGAGGCAUUUGGGAGACACAAAACACUUUUGUCCGGUGGUCCUCAAAGAAAACUUCAUCCUGCAACCAGGAAACACAGAAGAAGCAGCCAAGUAUCGAGAAAAGAUCUACUACUUUUCAAGUGCUGAGGCUAAAGAAAAGUUUUUGGAGCAUCCUGAGGAUUAUGUGGCUCAUGAAGAACCAUUGAAGGUGAGACAGUAUUCCUAUCUUAAUGAUUGCUCCCACAGGAUUUUUUUGGGACUGAUUACAAAUCACCAUCAAUUUACUUAAGGGUGAAAUCCCCAAUCUGAU
Molecule: small RNA, 1777 nt
Filed under: Pan troglodytes (chimpanzee)
Lineage: Eukaryota; Metazoa; Chordata; Mammalia; Primates; Hominidae
Description: retained intron
Source: RNAcentral